This 115-nucleotide ribosomal RNA is filed under the name Halococcus salifodinae. The record is from RNAcentral. RNAcentral also lists the same sequence under 3 other names. Lineage: Archaea; Methanobacteriati; Methanobacteriota; Halobacteria; Halobacteriales; Halococcaceae.
UGAGGCGGCCAUAGCGGCGGGGCAAACUCCCGUACCCAUCCCGAACACGGCAGAUAAGCCCGCCAGCGUUCCAGCGAGUACUGGAGUGCGCGAGCCUCUGGGAAAACUGCCUCGC